GACGAACGCUGGCGGCGUGCUUAACACAUGCAAGUCGAACGGAAAGGCCCUGCUUUUGUGGGGUGCUCGAGUGGCGAACGGGUGAGUAACACGUGAGUAACCUGCCCUUGACUUUGGGAUAACUUCAGGAAACUGGGGCUAAUACCGGAUAGGAGCUCCUGCUGCAUGGUGGGGGUUGGAAAGUUUCGGCGGUUGGGGAUGGACUCACGGCUUAUCAGCUUGUUGGUGGGGUAGUGGCUUACCAAGGCUUUGACGGGUAGCCGGCCUGAGAGGGUGACCGGCCACAUUGGGACUGAGAUACGGCCCAGACUCCUACGGGAGGCAGCAGUGGGGAAUAUUGCACGAUGGGCGGAAGCCUGAUGCAGCAACGCCGCGUGCGGGAUGACGGCCUUCGGGUUGUAAACCGCUUUCGCCUGUGACGAAGCGUGAGUGACGGUAAUGGGUAAAGAAGCACCGGCUAACUACGUG
This 468-nucleotide ribosomal RNA is filed under the name uncultured bacterium. RNAcentral describes it as "partial 16S ribosomal RNA". It matches the Rfam family "Bacterial small subunit ribosomal RNA", at positions 28 to 507 of the family's 1533-position model. The record is from RNAcentral.